UACAAAGGAAUUGACGGGGCCGCGACAAGCGGUGGAGCAUGUGGUUAAUUCGACGCAACGCGAAGAACCUUACCAGGGCUUGACAUCCCCUGACCGCGUAUGAAAGUACGUUUUCACCCUCGGGUGACAGGGAGACAGGUGGUGCAUGGUUGUCGUCAGCUCGUGUCGUGAGAUGUUGGGUUAAGUCCCGCAACGAGCGCAACCCCUACGUUUAGUUGCUAACGCGUGAAGGCGAGCACUCUAGACGAACUGCCGUUGACAAAAACGGAGGAAGGUGGGAUGACGUCAAAUCAUCAUGCCCCUUAUGUUCUGGGCUACACACGUGCUACAAUGGCCGGUACAGACGGACGCAAAGCCGCGAGGCGGAGCAAAUCCGAAAAAGCCGGUCUCAGUUCGGAUUGCAGGCUGCAAUUCGCCUGCAUGAAGUCGGAAUCGCUAGUAAUCGCAGGUCAGCAUACUGCGGUGAAUACGUUCCCGGGCCUU
This 483-nucleotide ribosomal RNA is filed under the name uncultured Pelotomaculum sp. Its description in RNAcentral is "bacterial SSU rRNA". It matches the Rfam family "Bacterial small subunit ribosomal RNA", at positions 903 to 1382 of the family's 1533-position model. Lineage: Bacteria; Bacillati; Bacillota; Clostridia; Eubacteriales; Desulfotomaculaceae. The record is from RNAcentral.